UGUCGUCAGCUCGUGUCGUGAGAUGUUGGGUUAAGUCCCGCAACGAGCGCAACCCUUGCCAUUAGUUGCUACAUUGAGUUGGGCACUCUAAUGGGACUGCCGGUGACAAACCGGAGGAAGGUGGGGAUGACGUCAAGUCCUCAUGGCCCUUAUGGGUAGGGCUUCACACGUCAUACAAUGGUCGGUACAGAGGGUUGCCAACCCGCGAGGGGGAGCCAAUCCCAGAAAGCCGAUCGUAGUCCGGAUUGCAGUCUGCAACUCGACCGCAUGAAGUCGGAAUCGCUAGUAACCGCGGAUCAGCAUGUCGCGGUGAAUACGUUCCCGGGCCUUGUACACACCGCCCGUCACACCAUGGGAGUGGGUUUCACCAGAAGUGGGUAGCCUAACCGCGAGGAGGGCGCUUACCACGGUGAGAUUCAUGACUGGGGUG
Molecule: ribosomal RNA, 430 nt
Filed under: unidentified beta proteobacterium OPS92B
Lineage: Bacteria; Pseudomonadati; Pseudomonadota; Betaproteobacteria
Description: bacterial SSU rRNA
Rfam family: Bacterial small subunit ribosomal RNA
Source: RNAcentral